Molecule: long non-coding RNA, 212 nt
Filed under: Elaeis guineensis (African oil palm)
Lineage: Eukaryota; Viridiplantae; Streptophyta; Magnoliopsida; Arecales; Arecaceae
Description: long non-coding RNA (EGUI_LNC059296)
Source: RNAcentral
CCACCUCCUGCUCCUUCAGAAACCACCAAAAUUGAGCUACCGCCACCUGAGCUCAAAGCUAGAUCUCCCUCCUGAGAACUUUGUUCUCAAGAAUCACCACGGUGACCUCAUCCAUCUUGAUGGUGCUUUUUCUCACUAGAAGAGCAGUCACCAAAGACUCAUACGAAGGGAGAAGUGAUGCUAGCAAGACCAAUGCCUUGAUCUUCUCCUCA